AAAUAAAGAAAUAAUAAAUUAAAUUUAAUUUCGACUUAAACCUAGGAAUAAAACAUUCCCUUAUUUU
This 67-nucleotide transfer RNA is filed under the name Cheumatopsyche lepida. RNAcentral describes it as "tRNA-Arg". The record is from RNAcentral. Lineage: Eukaryota; Metazoa; Arthropoda; Insecta; Trichoptera; Hydropsychidae.